GGAAAAGCCCAGAGGAGCCCGCAGCAAGAGACUGACAGGGAGCUGCACGGAGAGACCCAGCGACAGACAGGGAUGCAGAGACAGGGCAGAGUGAGAAGGAGGUGAAGACAGGAGCUCGAGCAGAUGGACAGCAUCAGCGGCAGAGAGAGGUAGAGCCAGUGGACAUGGCAGAGAAGUCCUUUUCCCCCGAGACUGCUCUGUGCCCCCUCCUUCCUCCGUCUCAAGGUCCUCUGGGGCAGGACCCCAACCCUCAGUGACCAGGAAGCAGGUCUGGGGUUCCAGUGACAUCAGCCUUGGAGACUGGAUGCUGUGGUAGGUCGGGCUCCCGCAGUGACCCCCCUGACCCCGUGCCCAUUGGUCUGGAUGGGUCUGGGCUCCCUGCACUGAGCUCCAGGAUCCUGAGGUGCUCGACAAGCACGUGUGGACUUGAGGUACUAGCCCCUCGUUCCAUGGGUGGAUGGGCAAACUGAGGCCCAGGCUAGUGGGUCAGGAUGGCUGCAGGGCUCCCGGGUUGGGGGCAGCAGCGGAUGAAGAACGGAGCACUAAGCUGGGAGCCAGGCCCCGUGUUCUGGCCUGGCUCUACCCGGUGGUGCCCAGCUCUACUCCACACACACAUGGGGGAGGGUGGGACCCUCCCUAAGGCUCCCGCACCCCGACAGGCAUGGAGUCUAUGAAUCACGUGAGAGGAAGUUUUGGAAGAGACCUGUGUUUGAAAGCUGGGACUUUGACGGUUGCCGUGGAAACGGGGCUCAGAGGUGCAGAAGGGCUGUGAGCUCGCCCUGGGUGCCCCAGAUAGCAGGGAGGGCGGCUCCUGCACCCUCCUCCUGGUGGUCUCCGGAGCCCUCUCAGCCCCCGCCACGCAGACCCCUGCAGGGGUGGCUACAGAGGAGGUCCCCAGCACGGGGCUCCCAGGGACACAGCUGACAUUUACUGAGCGCUCAUGGUGCCCUGGCCCAUCAGUGUUGGGCACACAGAAGGAACAGGACGAAUAGCUCACAGGAGAAAACCCUGCCGUCUCCACGACACGCAUCCUCAGGACAGACUGGCUCUGUUGGAACAUGGACGCUUCCUUCACUCAACACACGUGUAGGCCAGGUACUGGGCGACACAGAGACAAACAGGACACAGUCCUCCACUUCCCUCAGGACCCACGGCUGCCCAAGCUGGGCCCUGAGCUUGCAGGCUCUUGUGGGGUUGAUGUGGAAGGCUGCAGACUCCUGGGGAGCAUGUCCAUCCCCAGUGCCCAGGACACUGGUGAGCAAUGGGCUGCAGAGUGAGACAGGAGUCGUAUCAUGAAGGACCUUGAAUAUUUUUGCUGAGGACCUCAGGCUCCAUCUUGUGUGAGAUGGGGAGCCACUGAAGGGUUUUGAGCAGGAGCAUGCCAUGGUCACACCUGUGCCUUAAACACGUCCCUCUGGCUGGCAAGGAGAGGGCGGGUGGUUGGGGGAGAGUCUGAAGGCAGAGAGAUGAGUUGGGGGCUGUGCAAUAAUCCAGGACUAGGCUGUAGCUAUGAGAGUGCUGGCAGGGGGGAGCGGACAGAAUGUGGGAUGUUUACUAGAUCCAGCUGACCAACUGUGGCGCUGGCAGCGGGUGAGGGAGAAAGGAGCAGAGACCCACUCUCAGGUUUCGGCCCAGUAGCUGGCUAGGUGUUCGUGCUGUGUGCAGAGACGGGGACCAACUACAGGAACUGGAUGGGGAGAAAUACUGGGCCUAGUUCUGGAGACAUGGACUUCGAGGUGUCCAAGGGACAUCCAGGUGGGAAUGCCUUGUAACUAAACAGAUGGGGGCGGGAGAAAAAGAUCUGAGCCAAUGGGAUGGAGCCAAGAGUCACGAGGUGGGGUCAAUGCCACAUGUGUGGCUGAACUUGCCCAAAGCGAAAGAGAAGGUCAAGGACAGAGCCUGGGAGAAGCUCGCCUGUGGUGGCUUGUGUGACUGCUCAGCAAAUACCACCCCCUUCUGUGGGGGGCACACUGGGGUUGGGGCUGCCCAUGGGACCUGGGGGCAGAUGUGAUGCUUGCAAGGAUUGGCUUGGCCUCUGGCACUCCUUUCCCUUACCCUGGAAAGAGCACACCAGGCAGCCGCUGCCCUGCAGACUGGGCCCCGGCACGAGAGACCCCCAGAGAAGACCUGAGCUGCACCCUGGAGCAGAGCCGCCCGGAUGCCUGCAGACCUGUGUGGGAGAAAUAAAUGGCUUUUAUUACAAGCCACUGAGAUUUGGGGCUGUUUGUUAUGUAACAUUGUAUCGGCAAUAGCUUGACUAAUAAAAUUUUAAGAGGAGGCUGGAGAAAAAGAAAUCCCGGAAAGGGUAACAGGAAGAAGAAUGGG
This 2325-nucleotide long non-coding RNA is filed under the name Equus caballus (horse). RNAcentral's name for it is "lncRNA (ENSECAG00000053509.1)". Lineage: Eukaryota; Metazoa; Chordata; Mammalia; Perissodactyla; Equidae. The record is from RNAcentral.